Molecule: ribosomal RNA, 459 nt
Filed under: uncultured Desulfobulbus sp.
Lineage: Bacteria; Pseudomonadati; Thermodesulfobacteriota; Desulfobulbia; Desulfobulbales; Desulfobulbaceae
Description: bacterial SSU rRNA
Rfam family: Bacterial small subunit ribosomal RNA
Source: RNAcentral
GCGGUGGAGUAUGUGGUUUAAUUCGAUGCAACGCGAAGAACCUUACCUGGUCUUGACAUCCCGGAGACCCUUAGGAAACUAGGGGGUGCUUCCAUCUGGAAGAAUCUGGAGACAGGUGCUGCAUGGCUGUCGUCAGCUCGUGUCGUGAGAUGUUGGGUUAAGUCCCGCAACGAGCGCAACCCUUGCCUUUAGUUGCCAGCAGUUCGGCUGGGCACUCUAAAGGGACUGCCGGUGUUAAACCGGAGGAAGGUGGGGAUGACGUCAAGUCCUCAUGGCCUUUAUGACCAGGGCUACACACGUACUACAAUGGCCGAUACAAAGGGCAGCGACACUGCGAGGUGAAGCCAAUCCCGUAAAAUCGGUCUCAGUCCGGAUUGGAGUCUGCAACUCGACUCCAUGAAGUUGGAAUCGCUAGUAAUCGUGGAUCAGCAUGCCACGGUGAAUACGUUCCCGGGCCUU